Molecule: transfer RNA, 97 nt
Filed under: Chloroflexota bacterium
Lineage: Bacteria; Bacillati; Chloroflexota
Description: Chloroflexi bacterium tRNA-Pro
Rfam family: tRNA
About the family: Transfer RNA (tRNA) molecules are approximately 80 nucleotides in length. Their secondary structure includes four short double-helical elements and three loops (D, anti-codon, and T loops). Further hydrogen bonds mediate the characteristic L-shaped molecular structure. tRNAs have two regions of fundamental functional importance: the anti-codon, which is responsible for specific mRNA codon recognition, and the 3' end, to which the tRNAs corresponding amino acid is attached (by aminoacyl-tRNA synthetases). tRNAs cope with the degeneracy of the genetic code in two manners: having more than one tRNA (with a specific anti-codon) for a particular amino acid; and 'wobble' base-pairing, i.e. permitting non-standard base-pairing at the 3rd anti-codon position.
Source: RNAcentral
GGGGGUGUGGCAGAGAGGUUUAUCGCGCCCGGUUUGGAACCGGGUGGCCCCUGCUCAGGGUAGCGGCCCGUGGGUUCGAAUCCCACCACCCCCGCCA